Molecule: ribosomal RNA, 253 nt
Filed under: uncultured bacterium
Lineage: Bacteria
Description: partial 16S ribosomal RNA
Rfam family: Bacterial small subunit ribosomal RNA
Source: RNAcentral
GACGAACCGUGCGAACGUUAUUCGGAAUCACUGGGCUUAAAGGGUGCGUAGGCGGGUUGCCAAGCCUGUGGUGAAAUCCUCCGGCUUAACCGGAGAACUGCCGUGGAUACUGGCGACCUCGAGGGGUGUAGGGGCUUGCGGAACUGUGCGUGGAGCGGUGAAAUGCGUUGAUAUGCACAGGAACUCCGGUGGCGAAAGCGGCGAGCUGGACACCUUCUGACGCUGAGGCACGAAAGCCAGGGGAGCGAACGGG